RNAcentral lists this long non-coding RNA (1100 nucleotides) under Marmota monax (woodchuck). Lineage: Eukaryota; Metazoa; Chordata; Mammalia; Rodentia; Sciuridae. The record is from RNAcentral.
AAACAGUACUUUAAAAUCAGUCCCUUAAAAAUAGUUUAUAGUAUCAAAAUGUUUUCAUGUUAUAAAAGCUGACCUUAUUAAUUUUCUGCAGCAUACCGAAAAGUGUUCAUUAGAAAACAUUUGCCUAGCUGCGCAUGGUGGUAUACAUCUAUAAUUUCAGUGACUUGGAAGGCUGAGGCAGGAGGAUUACAAGUUUGAGGCCAGCCUAGGCAACUUAGAGAGACCCUGUCUCCAAAUAAAAAAAUAAAAAAGGCUUGGAUGUAGCUCAACAAUAAAGUGCCUCUUUCAAUCCCUAGUACCCCAAACCAAACCAAACAAAAUUUACACAAUAAUUAUUGAGAAGUGUGAAACCUUUCUUGAGCUGUUGAAAGCUCAAAGCCAUAUUUGUUCAAUUAUAGAAACUCCUUCUUCCCAAAUUCUUACUAACCUUAUUUUAUCUUUUAAAAUCUUAGAACAAAAAGAAAACAUAUAUAUUCUUGCAGAAAAAUUGGAGAAUAAAGAGAAACCAGGGAUAACCCAAUGUAUUAUUUUACCUCUUCUUUAUGCCAAAGGAAUGAAACUAGCAAAACCAAAAGCCUCUUGUCCCACAGCAGUCACAAUUGACCGGGCUCAAUGAGCAUAAUGCUGUUUUGACCAACAGGAGUUUACCCUACUAAGAGGUCUCUGCUUCGGGUCUUGCCAACAUAUCAGAGAAAUCCUUCUUUGGGAAGGGGUAGCUUAGAUUUUUUUUUUUUUUUAAAUGAAGGAUUGUGAUGGAUAUUUUAGGACACAAAGAGCUGGAGCCCAGUUGAAGGAAUACUCUUUGUUGACCUUUGUUUUCCAUGGAAAGCACUGAUGAGCAGCACUUUGACCUGACCUGCGUUCAUUUUUCAGGGCUGGGUUGUGCUGGAAGUCUGAAUAGUCUAGGAUCCCUAGCUGGAGUGGCCUACUUGGUCUUAGUGGGUAAACACAGAAGUCAUUUGCUAACGCUUUUCUGGCUGAGUUCUGUGAGCCCUCUUCAGCUCCUCUGGUUACCUCCCAGGGGAAGAAACUGGAGUGUUCCCCUCUUGGGACACACUGUCCCAGUGGGCAGGUCUUCUCUAUUCUUAACAAGAAUACUU